CCUACGGGUGGCAGCAGUAGGGAAUCUUCCACAAUGGGCGAAAGCCUGAUGGAGCAACGCCGCGUGGGUGAAGAAGGUCUUCGGAUCGUAAAACCCUGUUGUUAGAGAAGAAAGUGCGUGAGAGUAACUGUUCACGUUUCGACGGUAUCUAACCAGAAAGCCACGGCUAACUACGUGCCAGCAGCCGCGGUAAUACGUAGGUGGCAAGCGUUAUCCGGAUUUAUUGGGCGUAAAAGGAACGCAGGCGGGCGUUUAAGUCUGAUGUGAAAGCCUUCGGCUUAACCGGAGUAGUGCAUUGGAAACUGGGAGACGUGAGUGCAGAAGAGGAGAGUGGAAUUCCAUGUGUAGCGGUGAAAUGCGUAGAUAUAUGGAAGAACACCAGUGGCGAAAGCAGCUCUCUGGUCUGUAACUGACGCUGAGGUUCGAAAGCGUGGGUAGCAAACAGGAUUAGAUACCCGGGUAGUC
Molecule: ribosomal RNA, 465 nt
Filed under: uncultured bacterium
Lineage: Bacteria
Description: partial 16S ribosomal RNA
Rfam family: Bacterial small subunit ribosomal RNA
Source: RNAcentral